GAUGAAGAACGUAUCGAAAUGCGAUACUUGGUGUGAAUUGCAGAAUCCCGUGAACCAUCGAGUCUUUGAACGCAAGUUGCGCCCGAAGCCAUUAGGCCGAGGGCACGCCUGCCUGGGCGUCACACGUCGUUGCCCCCCCAUCUACUCCUUCGGGAUUGCGGGGGGCGGAUGAUGGCCUCCCGUGCGCCUCGUCGCGCGGUUGGCCUAAAUGCCAAGUCCUCGGCGACGCACGCCACGACAAUCGGUGGUUGCGAAACCUCGGUUGCCCGUCGUGUGCGGUCGUCGCGCAUCGAGGGCUCGAAAAAAUUGCCGGGCUUCGGCUCGACUUUCAACGCGACCCCAGGUCAGGCGGGGUUACCCGCUGAAUUUAAGCAUAUCAAUAAGCGGAGGA
Molecule: unclassified non-coding RNA, 391 nt
Filed under: soil metagenome
Description: partial contains 5.8S ribosomal RNA, internal transcribed spacer 2, and large subunit ribosomal RNA
Rfam family: 5.8S ribosomal RNA (bases 1-122)
Source: RNAcentral